AGGGUGACCAGCCAUCCUGGUCUGCCUGGGACUGAGGGAUUCUCCGGGAUUUGGGAUUGUCAGUGCUAAAACCUGGAAAGUC
This 82-nucleotide microRNA precursor is filed under the name Tursiops truncatus (common bottlenose dolphin). Its description in RNAcentral is "miRNA (ENSTTRG00000024472.1)". The record is from RNAcentral. Lineage: Eukaryota; Metazoa; Chordata; Mammalia; Artiodactyla; Delphinidae.